Molecule: ribosomal RNA, 263 nt
Filed under: uncultured bacterium
Lineage: Bacteria
Description: partial 16S ribosomal RNA
Rfam family: Bacterial small subunit ribosomal RNA
Source: RNAcentral
GACGAACCGUCCAAACGUUAUUCGGAAUUACUGGGCUUAAAGGGUGCGUAGGCGGCUUCGCAAGUUGGGUGUGAAAUCCCUCGGCUCAACCGAGGAAUGGCGCCCAAAACUGCGGAGCUCGAGGGAGACAGAGGUGAGUGGAACUUGUGGUGGAGCGGUGAAAUGCGUUGAUAUCACAAGGAACACCGGUGGCGAAAGCGGCUCACUGGGUCUCUUCUGACGCUGAGGCACGAAAGCUGGGGGAGCGAACGGGAUUAGAUACC